Molecule: ribosomal RNA, 467 nt
Filed under: uncultured bacterium
Lineage: Bacteria
Description: partial 16S ribosomal RNA
Rfam family: Bacterial small subunit ribosomal RNA
Source: RNAcentral
ACGCACGCUGGCGGCGUGCUUAACACAUGCAAGUCGAACGGAAAGGCCCUGCUUUUGUGGGGUGCUCGAGUGGCGAACGGGUGAGUAACACGUGAGUAGCCUGCCCUUGACUUUGGGAUAACUUCAGGAAACUGGGGCUAAUACCGGAUAGGAGCUCCUGCUGCAUGGUGGGGGUUGGAAAGUUUCGGCGGUUGGGGAUGGACUCGCGGCUUAUCAGCUUGUUGGUGGGGUAGUGGCUUACCAAGGCUUUGACGGGUAGCCGGCCUGAGAGGGUGACCGGCCACAUUGGGACUGAGAUACGGCCCAGACUCCUACGGGAGGCAGCAGUGGGGAAUAUUGCACAAUGGGCGGAAGCCUGAUGCAGCAACGCCGCGUGCGGGAUGACGGCCUUCGGGUUGUAAACCGCUUUCGCCUGUGACGAAGCGUGAGUGACGGUAAUGGGUAAAGAAGCACCGGCUAACUACGUG